RNAcentral lists this non-coding RNA (119 nucleotides) under Novosphingobium sp. RNAcentral describes it as "SAM-I-IV sequence". It matches the Rfam family "SAM-I/IV (S-adenosyl methionine) riboswitch aptamer". From Rfam's summary of the family: It is found upstream of a number of genes which code for proteins involved in methionine or cysteine biosynthesis. It has been found mostly in the order Actinomycetales. Lineage: Bacteria; Pseudomonadati; Pseudomonadota; Alphaproteobacteria; Sphingomonadales; Sphingomonadaceae. The record is from RNAcentral.
GUCCUACAUCGAGAGUUGGAGUGACGCUCCAACGCCAACCUGCCGAUCCGGGCAAGGUGGUACCCGAUCUGCCGAGGUGGAGAGGGGAUGUGGCCGAUCCGGCAAUCAAACGGACACGG